Molecule: ribosomal RNA, 253 nt
Filed under: uncultured bacterium
Lineage: Bacteria
Description: partial 16S ribosomal RNA
Rfam family: Bacterial small subunit ribosomal RNA
Source: RNAcentral
UACGUAGGGUCCGAGCGUUAAUCGGAAUUACUGGGCGUAUAGCGUGCGCAGGCGGUUUUGUAAGCCAGAUGUGAAAGCCCCGGGCUUAACCUGGGAAUGGCAUUUGGGACUGCAAGGCUGGAGUACGGCAGAGGGAGGUGGAAUUCCACGUGUAGCAGUGAAAUGCGUAGAGAUGUGGAGGAACACCGAUGGCGAAGGCAGCCUCCUGGGCUAGUACUGACGCUCAUGCACGAAAGCGUGGGGAGCAAACAGG